AAAUUGAAGAGUUUGAUCAUGGCUCAGAUUGAACGCUGGCGGCAGGCCUAACACAUGCAAGUCGAGCGGCAGCGGGAAAGUAGCU
Molecule: ribosomal RNA, 85 nt
Filed under: Aeromonas caviae
Lineage: Bacteria; Pseudomonadati; Pseudomonadota; Gammaproteobacteria; Aeromonadales; Aeromonadaceae
Also listed under: 2 other names
Description: partial 16S ribosomal RNA
Rfam family: Bacterial small subunit ribosomal RNA
Source: RNAcentral